RNAcentral lists this ribosomal RNA (355 nucleotides) under uncultured bacterium. RNAcentral's name for it is "bacterial SSU rRNA". It matches the Rfam family "Bacterial small subunit ribosomal RNA", at positions 917 to 1271 of the family's 1533-position model. The record is from RNAcentral.
GGGCCCGCACAAGCAGUGGAGCAUGUGGUUUAAUUCGAUGCAACGCGAAGAACCUUACCAGGCCUUGACAUCCUCGGAACUUUCUAGAGAUAGAUUGGUGCCUUCGGGAACCGAGUGACAGGUGCUGCAUGGCUGUCGUCAGCUCGUGUCGUGAGAUGUUGGGUUAAGUCCCGUAACGAGCGCAACCCUUGUCCUUAGUUGCCAGCACAUUAUGGUGGGAACUCUAAGGAGACUGCCGGUGACAAACCGGAGGAAGGAGAGGAUGACGUCAAGUCAUCAUGGCCCUUACGGCCUGGGCUACACACGUGCUACAAUGGCCGGUACAGAGGGCAGCCACACCGCAAGGUGGAGCGAA